UUUCUAAAGGAAAAUGCUAACCAAACACAUAGUUUGUUCAGAUGUCAUUCUCCUCCACCAUCCAAUCAGAAGUUGGGGGGGAACUGUAUACUAAAAUAAUAGUAAUAUUAUAUUUGCAUGUAUAUGUAUGAAAGGAUCUGAUUUUAAUAGAUACAUUCUGGUGAACAUUGAUUUCUCAGGCUCCUCAAAACCAGGUGAAUUCCUCCCUUCUCUGUCAGUGGAUGAAAGAGUUUGGUGCAGUGACAGUUGUAAGAGCCCACAGGAACAAACCAACACCAUAAAAGGUUCUUAAUGGAGCAGUUUCUGAGACCUGUUGUGUAUGAAGAGAAUCCAGAGUAUCUAGAAGAGGCUCUGAAGAACAGCGCCCAUGAUGCAAACAUCUCACUCUACGUCCUCUGUUCCAGUGCAACCUGUGCUGAUGAUGCAUCAGUCACUGUAGAUAAGCAUGAGUUAGCACAUGGAAUGCUAACAGAGUACGGCUAGCAUCUGAGAAUGUGGUAAAAUUUUUGUUUUCUCAAACAAAAGUGGAUGUUUUCAAUAUCUUACUUUUAUAUGGAUUGAGCUUGUAACAUUUAUUCAUGUGUCAAAUGCCAUUGAAGUCAAUGGGACUACUUACAUGAGCAAGGAUAGCAGGAUUGGGCUCAGGUCUUUUAGUGUAUUAAGCAAGAAUGUUUAUGGAGAAAACUAUAAAUAAUUUUCAUCAUAGUUUUAAAGUGAUUAUUUUUAUCCUGUUUACAUGCCAAUUCUACUGCUGAGAGGAGCAAUAUGAUCUGAAAACUGAGUACAGUGGGGCUAGUCAUAUGCAUAAGCUUUUGCAGGAUGAGAAUCCUGGCACUUUAAAAUUGCUUCUGUUAAGAGUUUUCCUGCCUGUAGGAAUGGAUGAUUUCCAUUGAAUAUCCCCAAGUUCCUCUAGCUAUGACUCUUACUUCCUGCAGGGCAGGAGGAAUCCUGUCUACCUUAGGGUUUUUUACUGCCGCCCAUCAUUGUAGUAUCAGAGUGCUUUCCAC
This 1007-nucleotide long non-coding RNA is filed under the name Gopherus agassizii (Agassiz's desert tortoise). RNAcentral describes it as "lncRNA (ENSGAGG00000002953.1)". Lineage: Eukaryota; Metazoa; Chordata; Testudines; Testudinidae. The record is from RNAcentral.